UACUCCUACGGGAGGCAGCAGUGAGGAAUAUUGGUCAAUGGGCGAGAGCCUGAACCAGCCAAGUCGCGUGAAGGAUGACUGUCUUAUGGAUUGUAAACUUCUUUUAUACGGGAAUAACAAGAGUCACGUGUGACUCCCUGCAUGUACCGUAUGAAUAAGCAUCGGCUAACUCCGUGCCAGCAGCCGCGGUAAUACGGAGGAUGCGAGCGUUAUCCGGAUUUAUUGGGUUUAAAGGGUGCGUAGGCGGCCUGUUAAGUCAGCGGUGAAAUCUAGGAGCUUAACUCCUAAAUUGCCAUUGAUACUGGCGGGCUUGAGUGUAGAUGAGGUAGGCGGAAUGCGUGGUGUAGCGGUGGAAUGCAUAGAUAUCACGCAGAACUCCGAUUGCGAAGGCAGCUUACUAAGGUACAACUGACGCUGAAGCACGAAAGCGUGGGUAUCAAACAGGAUUAGAUACCCUGGUAGUCCACGCAGUAAACGAUGAUAACUGGGCGUAUGCGAUAUACAGUAUGCUCCUAAGCGAAAGCGUUAAGUUAUCCACCUGGGGAGUACGCCGGCAACGGUGAAACUCAAAGGAAUUGACGG
Molecule: ribosomal RNA, 582 nt
Filed under: uncultured bacterium
Lineage: Bacteria
Description: bacterial SSU rRNA
Rfam family: Bacterial small subunit ribosomal RNA
Source: RNAcentral